GUAAAAUGGGUUGAGUUCUUGAUUUGAUUCUCCCCUUGGUCACUGUUGGUAUAUAGAAGAGCUACUGAUUUGUGUACAUUAAUCUUGUAUCCAGAAACUUUCUUGAAUUCAUUUAUCAGUUCUAGGAGCUUGCUGGAGGAGUUCUUAGAGUUUUCAAGGUAAAUAAUCAUAUCAUCAGCAAACAGUGACAGUUUGACUUCCUCUUUACCGAUUUGGAUGCCCUUUAUUUCUCCCUCUUGUCUGAUUGCUCUUGCUAGGACUUCCAUUACUAUGUUGAAGAAGAGUGGUGAGAGUGGGCAUCAUUGUCUUGUUCCAGUUCUCAGAGGGAAUUCUUUCAACUUUUCCCCAUUCAGUAUUACGUUGGCUGUCCUUUGUGAUUUACGCUUUAAAGAGGUUCUGUGCAAAAAUCACAAGCAUUCUUAUACACCAAUAACAGACAAACAGAGAGCCAAAUCAUCAGUAAACUCCCAUUCACAAUUGCUUCAAAGAGAAUAAAAUACCUAUGAAUCCAACUUACAAGCAACAUGAAGGACUUCUUCAAGGAGAACUGCAAACCACUGCUCAAUGAAAUAAAAGAGGAUACAAACAAAUGGAAGAACAUUCCAUGCUCAUGGGUAGGAAGAAUCAAUAUCGUGAAAAUGGCCGUAUUGCCCAAGGUAAUUUAAAGAUUCA
Molecule: long non-coding RNA, 672 nt
Filed under: Homo sapiens (human)
Lineage: Eukaryota; Metazoa; Chordata; Mammalia; Primates; Hominidae
Description: HSALNT0088361
Source: RNAcentral